CAGUGCUAACAACGGAAACUACACAGGUAGAGUGUCAGCAAUAUUGUAAUCCCUCAAGUCUUGUAACAGUGCUAACAACGGAAACUACACAGGUAGAGUGUUAGCAAGAUAAGUAUUCAUCAAGUCUUGUAACAGUGCUAACAACGGAAACUACACUGGUAGAGUGUCAGCAAGAUUGUAAUCCCACAAGUCUUGUAACAGUGCUAACAACGGAAACUACACAGGUAGAGUGUCAGCAAGAUAAGUAUUCAUCAUGUCUUGUAACAGUGCUAACAACGGAAACUACACUGGUAGAGUAUCAGCAAGAUUGUAAUCCAUCAAGUCUUGUAGGGACGUAUUUUAUUGUUGAAGUUAAGGUAAGGGGCGUAUUUUAUUGUUGAAGUUAAGGUUAGGGGCCGCAUUUUAUUGUUGAAGUUUAGGUUAGGGGGCCGCAGUUAAUUGUUGAAGUUAAGGUUAGGGGGCCGCAUUUUAUUGAUGAAGUUAAGGCUAGGGGGCCGCAUUUUAUUGUUGAAGUUAAGGUUAGGGGCGUAUUUUAUUGUUGAAGUUAAGGUUAGGGGCCGCAUUUUAUUGUUGAAGUUAAGGUUAGAGGCCGCAUUUUAUUGACGAAGUUAAGGUUAGGGGGCCGCAUUUUAUUGUUGAAGUUAAGGUUAGAGGCCGCAUUUUAUUGACGAAGUUAAGGUUAGGGGGCCGCAUUUUAUUGUUGAAGUUAAGGUUAGGGGGCGCAUUUUAUUGUUGAAGUUAAGGUAAGGGGCGUAUUUUAUUGUUGAAGUUAAGGUUAGGGGCCGCAUUUUAUUGUUGAAGUUUAGGUUAGGGGGCCGCAGUUAAUUGUUGAAGUUAAGGUUAGGGGGCCGCAUUUUAUUGUUGAAGUUAAGGUUAGAGGCCGCAUUUUAUUGACGAAGUUAAGGUUAGGGGGCCGCAUUUUAUUGUUUUAGUUAAGGUUAGGGGGCGCAUUUUAUUGUUGAAGUUAAGGUUAGGGGCGUAUUUUAUUGUUGAAGUUAAGGUUAGGGGCCGCAUUUUAUUGUUGAAGUUAAGGUUAGGGGGCCGCAUUUAUUGUUGGAGUUAAGGUUAGGGGGCGUAUUUUAUUGUUGAAGUUAAGGUUAGGGGGCCGUAUUUUAUUGUUGAAGUUAAGGCUAGGGACCGCAUUUUAUUGUUGAAGUUGAAUUUGAUUGGAAAAUAUCAACAGAAUAUCGGUAUUCCGACAGCAUUUAUCACACGGAGUUGUACCAGUAGAUUUUAACAUGUUUUAUUGAAAAUACGUCGGUAAUAUAACUUGAACAACUUUCAAGUACAACAAAUAUUAAAGAAUUAAGUAUGUUAAGCAAAUACAUAUAUAUAUACCCUAUUAUAUUAAUUAGUGGAGAUAUGUUUGAUUUUGAACAUUACUGAUCAAUUCGUACACUAUAACCAAUGUUGUAACCUAAGCUGUAUGAUAUAUGUACCUAUAUAUAUGUACCUAUACAUCUGAAUG
Mizuhopecten yessoensis (Yesso scallop) is the source of this 1468-nucleotide long non-coding RNA. RefSeq lists it as uncharacterized. Lineage: Eukaryota; Metazoa; Mollusca; Bivalvia; Pectinida; Pectinidae. The record is from RefSeq and is a predicted model, not a curated record. The transcript has 3 exons.